AUGCCCAGGAGGGAGAUCCGUUUGGGUGUCUGUCCCAUCGAGGACGACAAACAGCGCAGUGUCACCUUCUCCAAACGACGUGCUGGUUUGUUUAAAAGCGCCAGUAACCUCUCCGCCCUCACUGGCGUGAAGGUUGUUGUUGUCCUAGAGAGUGAAUCAGGAAAGAUGCAUGCCUUUGGGACGCCAUCGGUGAACCCUAUUAUUGAUGCUUUCUUGUCAAGGGAUCCACUUAUUGAGCCACUCGCCGACAAGGCGGGAAAAGCUAGGAUUGCAUCGCUGCAGAGCAAGGUGGCUAGGUUGGACAUGGAGAAUACAGUGCUAGAGAAGAGAGCAAACCUCUCCCUCCAGCAUAUCAAGAAGAUACAAGCUGAAAACCCAGGGAUGGUGGCAAAUAAUAUCUUUUCGAGGGAAAAAGAUCUCAGUCUUGGAGAUCUCAACAGACUCUUCAAUGACCUCUUGCGAAUCAAGGAGCAUAUUAGACACCGUAUGCCUGCACUACAUCAUGGCCAUGAAAUAAGGACUGGUGGUCAAAACGUGCAACAAAUCCAGUUGCUGCCAAGAGGUCCAUCACAAGAUCACUCGAAGACUCAUCAAGCGUCAUUGCAACCAUCAUCAUCUCGCCGUUUUUCACCUCAAGUGUUGCCUCCAGUUCCACUACCACCAACACCACAACACAUUAUGGGACGAUCUUUUCAUAUGCAGGUACCACAGAUGUUCCAGACCCAACCAUCACCUUUGGCGCCCCGGUUGAGGUCCCUUAUGCAACCAAUUCCUCAUCAGGUACCACAACUAUUUCAGUCCACACCACCACCUCCACCUCCGACUCCCCUGUUGGCAUCCCUUCUACAACUGGAUCUUGACCAGGUACAUGGUUUACCUCCACCACCUCAGCCAAAACUUCAAGAAUAUGCAAGUCCUUACAAGACAAAGGAGCCAUCACAGAACAAGACAAUCCCUAACUCAAUCGUUGAGAACAUUUCGGAGGCAUCCCCACGGUUCUUUUCAUCCGGUGGCAAUGAUAUCUCUCCUUAUGCUCCUUUGGACCAGGCGCUCUACAAUGAAAUCCAAGGGAUGGAUUCUUACUUGGGGUGCAAUAGUAAUGAUGUAGGCCAAUAUAACAUGGGACGUGAAGAGUGGGUCAAUGCACCACCAGAGUCUUCUCGCGGGAAUGAUGAUGAUAUUGAUGCAUGA
RNAcentral lists this ribosomal RNA (1191 nucleotides) under Triticum aestivum (bread wheat). RNAcentral describes it as "partial small subunit ribosomal RNA". Lineage: Eukaryota; Viridiplantae; Streptophyta; Magnoliopsida; Poales; Poaceae. The record is from RNAcentral.